UUACAGGAAAUUUGGUCUUCAGCUCCCGUAGGUCUUUUCCUGAUGAUUUUGAUGAUACUGAGUUUCCUUGCCCAUUUGAUGUGGAUGAUGAUGAUGUGACAGAUCCAGGCAGCAGAGUAGCUGUCAAAAGCCUAAGGAUUCAGUUCGAGAACCUCAGUAAUAUAGUGCACCUUUUCAAAGGCUUGAUGGACAUCACCUUCGUUACAUAUUCAAGGGGCUAUUUUGGCAUUAUCAACCCCCUUCAAUGUUGAUCAGAGAUAUUAGCGUUUGCAGCGUGAUGGCUUGGUCUUUAGGUGUUAGAAGUCAAUGAUUCAUUUGCAAGCAGAUACACAACAACUGAGAAGAGGCAGUUGUGGCACCCAAUCCCUGGGUUUCGGAAAGAAAUGGAAUGGAGUAUGGAGAUGAUGCUGAAGACGAAUCUGAGAACUCGGAAAAGGCUUUGACAACAAACUUGCAUAUGGACUAAUGUGCAACCAUCUUCUGAAGAUGAAGACGUCUGCCCUACAUAUCUGGAUGAAUACACCAAAAAAAUCCAAAAGUCAAACGACAUGUCCUGUCCUCAUCAUUUUCAACUUGGUUGCAAUAAUAAAUGGUUGGCAAAAAACGAAAGAUGGCCAAUUUGUGGAAGGAUGCAGGUGGAAGGAUUUGGCAGAAUCAGAUGUUUAUGACGAGAACAGAAGAGUUGCCACAAUGCUUGAGGUUGCCAACGCCAAGAGUUGUAGCUGGUUCAACCCGAAGAAGGGUUAAUUUUUUUACAAAAUAAGUUCCAAUUCCUUAGUGGUUUGGCUUUACAGUAAAUACCAAAUGAAUUUUUCAUGUGGUAGAUUUUUUUAAUGGAAUUCAUUAACUUGGUAGAUUUAUGUUUGUAGAAUACAUAUGAAUUUUCAUGGUUAUCAAUCGUUCAAUACCUCUAUAUGGUUACAGAGGGUUGAAGGUAAUCUCUAUACAUUUUGUAAAUAGCACUCCCUAGCUAUGGCAAAUCAGCAUUCUCAAUUUUCUCAUGUAAUAUAUGUAUAUAAACACUAUUCUUUAUCACAUACUUUUUCAAAAU
Long non-coding RNA from Malus domestica (apple), 1051 nucleotides. RefSeq lists it as uncharacterized. The record is from RefSeq and is a predicted model, not a curated record. Lineage: Eukaryota; Viridiplantae; Streptophyta; Magnoliopsida; Rosales; Rosaceae.